Molecule: long non-coding RNA, 755 nt
Filed under: Chinchilla lanigera (long-tailed chinchilla)
Lineage: Eukaryota; Metazoa; Chordata; Mammalia; Rodentia; Chinchillidae
Description: lncRNA (ENSCLAG00000025874.1)
Source: RNAcentral
GCCUGCCUUGGUACUGUGAUCACUGGAUGAUUUUUCAGCUCAUGUAGCUUCUGCCAAAUUCCACAUCCCUCACUAAUCCUCUUUCGGGUUUUCAUUCUAAUAAAAGGAGAAGGCAGGCUGGCAACACGUGGCGCUUUUACAAGUCUUCAGGCCUCUCCCUCCUGGGACCUCUCUGCUUUCAACAUCUGCAUGUGCCAGGCCUGGCUCCCUCCCCAGCUGCGGAAACCAGCCUGCACCUCAGCGGGAUGCUGGGCUGGACCCAUGGCAGAUGUUCCUGUCAUGUGGUCUGAAGAAGUCCAGAUGUGUUUGCUCAGGAUGCGGAGCCGGUGCCUCCCAGGAGCAGGGAGGAAAGAGGAGUUACUCAAGAGCAGCUGCUACACGAAGAGCAGUACUGGAGUGGGGAUGAGGACGUGGUCAACUCUGCUUGGGGACAGGGCAACCGACCGUGUAGGAUGAGACAGAUGCCACCAAGCAGACAAGGGGUCGCUUCUUCCGUGUGUCCCUGAACUUCCCGGAUGUCGCCUCCUCUCCUGCUCAUCUCCAUCCUUAUCUUCCUGUGGAACAGCCCACGACCCACCCACCAGGAUAUCACCCUCAAGGAAUCAAGCCAGGAUGAUGGACAGACUGCACACUGGUGCAGCUUCUUCCUGGAAGCCUAGCUGCUGCCCCUUUGCCCAGUAGCUGUUAGGGUCUGCAGGUAGAGUUAGAGCAUUGUCGUGCUAUUAAAAAAUAUGCUUAAAUAAUAUUAAGUGAAC